GAUGAACGCUGGCGGCGUGCCUAACACAUGCAAGUCGAACGGAGAUUACGGACGGAAGUUUUCGGAUGGAAGCCUGUAAUUCUUAGUGGCGGACGGGUGAGUAACGCGUGGGCAACCUGCCCUAUACAGGGGGAUAGCAGCUGGAAACGGCUGGUAAGACCGCAUAAGUCGGCGAGACCGCAUGGUUUUGCCGGGAAAUGAGCAAUCAGGUAUAGGAUGGGCCCGCGUCCGAUUAGCCAGUUGGCAGGGUAAAAGCCUACCAAAGCAACGAUCGGUAGCCGGACUGAGAGGUCGGACGGCCACAUUGGGACUGAGACACGGCCCAAACUCCUACGGGAAGCAGCAGUGGGGGAUAUUGCACAAUGGAGGAAACUCUGAUGCAGCGACGCCGCGUGAGUGAAGAAGUAUUUCGGUAUGUAAAGCUCUAUCAGCAGGGAAGAUGAUGACGGUACCUGACUAAGAAGCCCCGGCUAACUACGUG
This 481-nucleotide ribosomal RNA is filed under the name uncultured bacterium. Its description in RNAcentral is "partial 16S ribosomal RNA". It matches the Rfam family "Bacterial small subunit ribosomal RNA", at positions 28 to 507 of the family's 1533-position model. The record is from RNAcentral.